RNAcentral lists this unclassified non-coding RNA (375 nucleotides) under Hevea brasiliensis (rubber tree). The record is from RNAcentral. Lineage: Eukaryota; Viridiplantae; Streptophyta; Magnoliopsida; Malpighiales; Euphorbiaceae.
AUCAGUUUGAAACAGCUGAUAUUAGAUCUCAUGGUUUUUUAUGUUCAUUAUUUUUCAUGUGGAACAAGCUGGUAAGUUCUAUUAACCCACAUAGCUAGAGGAGUGCAAUAAGUGAGCUCAGUUCCAAACCAAACUCACUGAAAAAACAAAAUCUAAAACUACAGAAAUUGAACCCGAAAAUCACAUCAAACUGAAAAAAAAAAAAUCAAUUUGAUUCAAUUCAUUAGUUUUGCUACUCCCUUUCCCUCAAAAAGGUUCCAAUAAAUCACAAAUCAACAAUUGAAAUUUGUCAAAAAAAUACAACCUAGUAAUUUCCCAACAAAAUCAACUACCAAAAUUUGCCUAAAAAUGACACAACAAAGUAGCCAUCAAUAG